CUGGGACGAAAGGAUUCGAACCUCCGAAUGCGACCAAA
This 38-nucleotide transfer RNA is filed under the name Colobanthus quitensis. RNAcentral describes it as "partial tRNA-Glu". The record is from RNAcentral. Lineage: Eukaryota; Viridiplantae; Streptophyta; Magnoliopsida; Caryophyllales; Caryophyllaceae.